UACGGAGGGUGCGAGCGUUGUCCGGAAUCAUGGGGCGUAAAGGGCGCGUAGGUGGCGGGACAAGCGUGCGGUGAAAGCCUGGGGCUCAACCCCGGGUCGGCCGUGCGAACUGUUUUGCUUGAGCACUGUAGAGGCAGGCGGAAUUCCGGGUGUAGCGGUGGAAUGCGUAGAGAUCCGGAAGAACACCGGUGGCGAAGGCGGCCUGCUGGGCAGUAGCUGACACUGAGGCGCGACAGCGUGGGGAGCAAACAGG
This 253-nucleotide ribosomal RNA is filed under the name uncultured bacterium. Its description in RNAcentral is "partial 16S ribosomal RNA". It matches the Rfam family "Bacterial small subunit ribosomal RNA", at positions 524 to 776 of the family's 1533-position model. The record is from RNAcentral.